UGGGGAAUAUUGGACAAUGGGCGAAAGCCUGAUCCAGCCAUGCCGCGUGUGUGAAGAAGGUCUUCGGGUUGUAAAGCACUUUAAGUUGGGAGGAAGGGCAUUAACCUAAUACGUUAGUGUUUUGACGUUACCGACAGAAUAAGCACCGGCUAACUCUGUGCCAGCAGCCGCGGUAAUACAGAGGGUGCAAGCGUUAAUCGGAAUUACUGGGCGUAAAGCGCGCGUAGGUGGUUUGUUAAGUUGGAUGUGAAAUCCCCGGGCUCAACCUGGGAACUGCAUUCAAAACUGACUGACUAGAGUAUGGUAGAGGGUGGUGGAAUUUCCUGUGUAGCGGUGAAAUGCGUAGAUAUAGGAAGGAACACCAGUGGCGAAGGCGACCACCUAGACUAAUACUGACACUGAGGUGCGAAAGCGUGGGGAGCAAACA
Molecule: ribosomal RNA, 427 nt
Filed under: uncultured bacterium
Lineage: Bacteria
Description: partial 16S ribosomal RNA
Rfam family: Bacterial small subunit ribosomal RNA
Source: RNAcentral